RNAcentral lists this unclassified non-coding RNA (335 nucleotides) under uncultured Corollospora. RNAcentral describes it as "sequence contains ITS1". The stretch from base 1 to 106 matches the Rfam family "5.8S ribosomal RNA", at positions 50 to 154 of the family's 154-position model. Lineage: Eukaryota; Fungi; Ascomycota; Sordariomycetes; Microascales; Halosphaeriaceae. The record is from RNAcentral.
GAAAUGCGAUAAGUAAUGCGAAUUGCAGAUUUCAGUGAUUAAUCGAAUCUUUGAACACACAUUGCACCCGACGGCCAUUCCGCCGGGUCUGCCUGUCCGAGCGUCGUUUCACCCCUCGAGUCCACCAAGCACUCGGUGUUGGGGAUCUGCAGGGCCCCUCGAGGGCGCUGCAGGCCGUGAAAUACAGUGGCGGGCCCUGCUGGAACCCCCUGCGCAGUAACAAACCUCUCGCAUCGGGUGCCGGCGGAGCCUGGCCGUCAACCGGUCGGCGCCCUGGGUGCCGCCCAUUCAGAACGGUCGACCUCGGAUCAGGUAGGGUUACCCGCUGAACUUAA